ACGGAGGGUGCAAGCGUUGUCCGGAAUCAUUGGGCGUAAAGAGUUCGUAGGUGGUAUGUUAAGUCUGGUGUUAAAGCCCGAAGCUCAACUUCGGUUCGGCACUGGAUACUGGCAAACUUGAAUGUGGUAGAGGUAAAGGGAAUUCCUGGUGUAGCGGUGUAAUGCGUAGAUAUCAGGAGGAAGAUCGGUAACGAGAGGGCUUUACUGGGCCAUUAUUGACACUGAGUACCGAGAGCCGGUGUAGGAAAUGG
This 251-nucleotide ribosomal RNA is filed under the name uncultured prokaryote. RNAcentral's name for it is "partial 16S rRNA". It matches the Rfam family "Bacterial small subunit ribosomal RNA", at positions 525 to 775 of the family's 1533-position model. The record is from RNAcentral.